AUGGCCCGGCUCGCCCUCUCCGACUGCCGCGGCCUCACGCCGCUCCGCGCGCGCAGCCGCGGCGGCGCCAUUGCGCUGCCGUCGCCUCCCCACCUCGCCGCGGGGCCGCGUCGCCCCGCGGCUGCCGCCAUCCACCGCGACUGGGCGCUCCGCGUCGCCGCGCCCACCCGCCUCGCCUCCGUCUUCGAGGAGGAUAAAAGGAGCCUCGGGGGAGCGGAGGAGGCCGGGAGCUCCUCGGCCGGGUUCAACCCGGGGGCGCCGCCGCCGUUCGGCCUGGCGGAGAUCCGCGCGGCCAUCCCGAAGCACUGCUGGGUCAAGGACCCGUGGCGGUCCAUGAGCUACGUGCUGCGCGACGUCCUGGUCGUGCUCGGCCUCGCCGCCGCCGCCGCGCGGGUCGACAGCUGGCUCGUCUGGCCGCUCUACUGGGCCGCGCAGGGCACCAUGUUCUGGGCGCUCUUCGUCCUGGGACACGACUGUGGGCAUGGGAGCUUCUCAAGCAACCCAAAGCUGAACAGCGUGGUUGGCCACAUACUCCAUUCCUCAAUUCUCGUUCCAUACAACGGCUGGAGGAUCAGCCACAGGACGCACCACCAGAACCACGGCCAUGUGGAGAAGGACGAAUCCUGGCACCCGCUACCCCAGAGGCUGUACAAUAGCCUGGACAAUAUGACAAAGAAGUUGCGGUUCAGCAUGCCAUUUCCCAUGCUUGCAUUCCCCUUAUACUUGUUUGCGAGGAGCCCUGGCAAGGAAGGCUCACACUUCAACCCGAACAGCGAUUUGUUCCAACCUAAUGAGAAAAAGGAUGUGCUAACAUCCACUGCGUCCUGGCUAGCAAUGAUUGGGGUUCUUGCAGGUCUGACCUUUGUGAUGGGGCCUCUUAAAAUGCUAAAGCUCUAUGCAGUCCCAUAUGUGAUAUUUGUUAUGUGGCUGGAUUUUGUCACAUACUUGCAUCAUCAUGGUCACGAAGACAAGGUUCCCUGGUAUCGUGGAAAGGAAUGGAGCUAUCUGCGCGGAGGAUUGACAACACUUGAUCGGGACUACGGGUUGAUCAACAACAUACACCAUGACAUUGGCACUCAUGUCAUUCACCAUCUUUUCCCGCAAAUCCCGCAUUACAAUCUUGUCGAGGCGACUGAGGCAGCAAAGCCAGUUCUUGGCAAGUACUACAAAGAACCAGAGAAGUCGGCUCCUCUCCCAUUCCACCUACUGCAGGUGCUAUCGCGGAGUUUGAAGGAGGAUCACUAUGUUAGCGACACCGGAGACAUAGUUUACUACCAAAGUGAGUCAGAGACGAGUACUUCUGGACAGAGCUCUGAUUGA
Molecule: ribosomal RNA, 1320 nt
Filed under: Triticum aestivum (bread wheat)
Lineage: Eukaryota; Viridiplantae; Streptophyta; Magnoliopsida; Poales; Poaceae
Description: partial small subunit ribosomal RNA
Source: RNAcentral